GUCCAGAGGCUCCUUGUCCCAGAAGCCCUUGCGGCACAAGGGCGAGAUGUUUGGGUUCCCGAGAGAUCCGUGGGGUCAGAGACGAUAAACCCAGUGGAUCGAGGAGUGGAAGAAAAGGCACCUGACCAGUGAUUAAACUGCAACCUUGCCAUACGCGAGCAAUGCUUCACUAACUGAACCACCAGUAGGGGCUCAGUUUCAGGCCAAGUGGGUAAACACACUGUGCUGUCUGUCCCACUGGAACACUUCAGUAAAUCAGCACUGUACAGAAGUGGGAGACUAAGUAUUGAUCACCAGCAGCUUGUACCCUUUUGGAGACGAGCAGGAGGACACUAGGUCACAGGGCCCAGUCAGCAGCCGUUUACCCAGGUUCAUAGAAUCAUAUCAAAUAACAACCUGUACAAAAUAGUUAAUAGUUUCCCAUAUAUCAAUAAAUGCUUUAUGUAUUGUUUUAUUGUUCACAGAGUACCAUUCUUAUAUUGUUUGCUAUUUAUUAUUGGUAAUAGGUCGCUAUCAACAUCAAUAAUGAGAUAUUAAGUACACCAUGACCUAGGCUGUGGGUGAGGCACAGACAAGAUAAUGCCCCUGCCUGACUGAAGGCACUUUAUUUUCACAGGAAUUCUGGUUGCGCGGGGCAGGGAAGGGGGGGGGGGGUGGUCAGGACAAUCUGUCAUGUGAGAGAGGAUUUUUCUCCUGUAACAAAUAGCCCUGCAGGGAGGGGACUAAAAGGGUGGGUUUCAGCAGAACAGCCACUUUCCCCAUCUCUGCUACUGAAGGUCUGGGCCCUGCCACCUGGUCUGACCAUUCCCAAGCCAAGAAUGCCAGGCUGGGAGGGGCAGAUGGCUUCAUACCUUGGGCAGGCUUGCUGGGUUCCUGGGUUCCUGGGGCUCCUGGCGGGUAUUUGGAUCCCCUCCCCCUAAGCGUUCACACUUAUUUUGGUAGGAUAACUUGUACAUGUACCUAUUGCACCUUAUGAUUGUUUAAAAUGACAUUGGUCUCCUUUAAUGUAAACUUCUAUUUAAAAAAAAAUUAACAGACCCUUAAGAGAAACUAUGCCUUCUGAUGCAAUUAUUAUUAAUUCAGAUGCCAAGAAAAAUGUUUCUUCCCCUCAUACAAAACUUGGCACCUUCUGCUGUUGCAGGGAACCUGGGGGCUGGGUGUGGGGUAAAUGAGGACAGGCACAGAUGUGACAACCUGACCUCUAGACAAGAUCCAGGCACUUGUCACAAAGUAACAAUGCCCCCAUGGACCCACUCCCACGCCUUCCUUUCUCUUUCCUCACCUCUGUUUUACUCUACAGGAGAUGAAGACCAGAGACACAGUGCCACUAGCCACCCUCCCAGAUACUGUACCUGUAGGGAGGCUUGCUUUGCACCAGGUCCUGCAGCUGCUGGGGAAGCAAAUGUUGAGAAUUCCGUGGCCUGUCCUCACCACCCAUAUUCCUAAGACAAGUCUGGUCAGGAUUUCUCUUGCAUCCCACCCGUGGGCUCCAAUAUCAAGUCUGGUGCUGGCCCAUGGGCUCAGGACCUACCAGUCAGUAAUCUGAACAUCCUAUGUGUUGGAUCUGUCCACCUUUUCUAUUUCUGUGUCAUCCUGAAGUAACAGGCACAUGGUGAGUAAC
Molecule: long non-coding RNA, 1621 nt
Organism: Phyllostomus hastatus (greater spear-nosed bat)
Lineage: Eukaryota; Metazoa; Chordata; Mammalia; Chiroptera; Phyllostomidae
Exons: 3
Source: RefSeq, a predicted model, not a curated record